Molecule: ribosomal RNA, 921 nt
Filed under: uncultured archaeon
Lineage: Archaea
Description: bacterial SSU rRNA
Rfam family: Archaeal small subunit ribosomal RNA
Source: RNAcentral
ACCCGACUGCUAUCGGGGUGGGGCUAAGCCAUGGGAGUCGCACGACCCGCCGCUGCGGGGAGUGGCGGACGGCUGAGUAACACGUGGCUAACCUACCCUCGGGACGGGGAUAACCCCGGGAAACUGGGGCUAAUCCCCGAUAGGCGAGGAGGCCUGGAAUGGUUCCUCGCCCAAAGGGGGCACCGGGGGUUAUCGCCGGUGUCGCCGCCCGAGGAUGGGGCUGCGGCCCAUCAGGUAGUUGGCGGGGUAAUGGCCCGCCAAGCCGAUAACGGGUAGGGGCCGUGAGAGCGGGAGCCCCCAGAUGGGCACUGAGACAAGGGCCCAGGCCCUACGGGGUGCACCAGGCGCGAAACCUCCGCAAUGCGGGCAACCGUGACGGGGUCACCCCGAGUGCCACCCACGAGGUGGCUUUUCCCCGCUGUAGGAAGGCGGGGGAAUAAGCGGGGGGCAAGACUGGUGUCAGCCGCCGCGGUAAUACCAGCCCCGCGAGUGGUCGGGAUGUUUACUGGGCCUAAAGCGCCCGUAGCCGGCCCGGUAAGUCUCUGCCUAAAGCCCCGGGCUCAACCCGGGGAGUGGCGGAGAUACUGCCGGGCUAGGGGGCGGGAGAGGCCGAGGGUACUCCCGGGGUAGGGGCGAAAUCCUAUAAUCCCGGGAGGACCACCAGUGGCGAAGGCGCUCGGCUGGAACGCGCCCGACGGUGAGGGGCGAAGGCCGGGGGAGCAAACCGGAUUAGAUACCCGGGUAGUCCCGGCUGUAAACGAUGCGGGCUAGGUGUUGGGUGGGCGGUAGAGCCCGCCCAGUGCCGCAGGGAAGCCGUUAAGCCCGCCGCCUGGGGAGUACGGCCGCAAGGCUGAAACUUAAAGGAAUUGGCGGGGGAGUACCACAAGGGGUGGAGCCUGCGGCUUAAUUGGAGUCAACGCC